CUCGCCUGCACGAAGUUGGAAUUGCUAGUAAUCGUGGAUCAGCAUGCCACGGUGAAUACGUUCCCGGGUCUUGUACACACCGCCCGUCACACCAUGGGAGCCGGUAAUACCCGAAGUCAGUAGUCUAACCGCAAGGAGGACGCUGCCGAAGGUAGGAUUGGCGACUGGGGUGAAGUCGUAACAAGGUACC
This 190-nucleotide ribosomal RNA is filed under the name uncultured bacterium. RNAcentral's name for it is "partial 16S ribosomal RNA". It matches the Rfam family "Bacterial small subunit ribosomal RNA", at positions 1311 to 1500 of the family's 1533-position model. The record is from RNAcentral.